This 266-nucleotide ribosomal RNA is filed under the name uncultured bacterium. RNAcentral describes it as "partial 16S ribosomal RNA". It matches the Rfam family "Bacterial small subunit ribosomal RNA", at positions 793 to 1055 of the family's 1533-position model. The record is from RNAcentral.
GUCCACGCUGUAAACGAUGGGGACUAGGUGUUGCGGGUGUUGACCCCCGCAGUGCCGCAGCUAACGCAUUAAGUCCCCCGCCUGGGGAGUACGGUCGCAAGACUAAAACUCAAAGGAAUUGACGGGGGCCCGCACAAGCGGUGGAGCAUGUGGUUCAAUUCGACGCAACGCGCAGAACCUUACCUGGGCUUGACAUCCUCGGAAUCUGCCAGAGAUGGUGGAGUGCUCGCAAGAGAGCCGAGAGACAGGUGCUGCAUGGCUGUCGU